Molecule: ribosomal RNA, 343 nt
Filed under: uncultured bacterium
Lineage: Bacteria
Description: bacterial SSU rRNA
Rfam family: Bacterial small subunit ribosomal RNA
Source: RNAcentral
GUGAGUAGUUCAGAGUUUGAUCCUGGCUCAGGAUGAACGCUGGCGGCGUGCAUAACACAUUCAAGUCGAACGGUGACAGAACUCCCUUCGGGGAGUUCCGAUCAGUGGCGGACGGGUGAGUAACGCGUGAGCAACCUGCCCUUGUGUGGGGGAUACCGUCUGGAAACGGACGUUAAUACCGCAUAACAUAGCGGAAUCGCAUGGUUCUGCUAUCAAAGAUUUAUUGCGCAAGGAUGGGCUCGCGUCUGAUUAGAUAGUUGGCAGGGUAACGGCCUACCAAGUCUACGAUCAGUAGCCGGACUGAGAGGUUGAACGGCCACAUUGGAACUGAGAUACGGUCCAG